RNAcentral lists this ribosomal RNA (881 nucleotides) under uncultured bacterium. RNAcentral's name for it is "partial 16S ribosomal RNA". The stretch from base 1 to 58 matches the Rfam family "Bacterial small subunit ribosomal RNA", at positions 301 to 358 of the family's 1533-position model. The record is from RNAcentral.
CGAUCAGCCACACUGGGACUGAGACACGGCCCAGACUCCUACGGGAGGCAGCAGUGGGGGAAAUUUUUCGACUACUGGGCUAACACGGUAUCGGAAACGGCCUAAGGGACCGGGUCCUUGGGGGGAACUUAAAACGGACUACUUGGGGUUCGAAAAACCCGUUUUUCGUAACCGGUAGGGUAAAGGAAAAAAGUUUACGUUUAGGUAAAGGGCCGGAAACCCGGGUUGGAACGGGUUAAACCCGACGGUAGGGAAAGUAACUACGUCGACCUUUCCGGACGGUAAACCGGGUACCGGUACGAACCCAAGGUUUCGGAAAACCGGACCCGUGGGUAACCGUAAACGGGACCCCGGGAAUGGAAACCCGAAAAAGGGGAAAACGUUUAAUUUACCGGUAAAGUCCGUAGUUAAGGGGACUUAAAGGACGGUCCGUCGACGGGUUCCGGACUUAAGGUCCUAAAGGUUUCGGUACGGGACGUUAAAAGGUCCCCAAAACCGGAAACCGGGGGCCGUUAAACCGUUACGGUAAACGGGGUACGACGUUGGGUAACCUUGGAAACGAAGGGACCUAAGUACGUAAGGUCCGGUAACGGGACCGUAGGGGAACGGUAAGUUACCGACGGUAACGGUACCCGAGGUAACCGUUCCGGUAACGGGGGAGGGCCAAAGGGCCGAACGGUACGGGGGUAAACGGGUUUUACCGACGGAAGUGGGACGAAAGCCGUGGAACGGGAGCCAAAGGACCGGCGGUAGGGGGGAAACAAGGGCUUUCGUUGGGGUUUACGUAAAACCCCCUUUUGCGUAGGGGAAAGUAAAGGUUGUAGAAACGCAAACCGUGGAACGGUACCAGGAGGAACUCAGCAGUCGGACUAACUCGUACG